UUGUAGCGGCACUGACGCCGGCCGUUGUGCAGCGGCAUUGCGUCUACUUGCUGGAGUACAUGGAGUUCCUCAAGCGCUCGUCCAAAAAAGAGGUAGAUCAGGAAUUGGAAAACCAGUACCUCGUCAUUGACUUGGACAAGUUCGGCCUCCGUCAAGUUUACAGCUGGCAGGCCAUAAAGGCGAUCACUGACAUGCUGAAAAUGAUGGAGGACCACUUUCCAGAGUGCCUGGAGAAGUGCAUCUGCA
This is a long non-coding RNA of Rhipicephalus sanguineus (brown dog tick), 246 nucleotides long. RefSeq lists it as uncharacterized. Lineage: Eukaryota; Metazoa; Arthropoda; Arachnida; Ixodida; Ixodidae. The transcript is spliced from 3 exons. The record is from RefSeq and is a predicted model, not a curated record.